ACUGCAGAGGGUGCUAGUGUGCCA
RNAcentral lists this non-coding RNA (24 nucleotides) under Arabidopsis thaliana (thale cress). Lineage: Eukaryota; Viridiplantae; Streptophyta; Magnoliopsida; Brassicales; Brassicaceae. The record is from RNAcentral.